UUCAUAAUAACUUAACGAAUCGCAUGGCCUUGCGCCGGCGAUGGUUCAUUCAAAUUUCUGCCCUAUCAACUUUCGAUGGUAGGAUAGUGGCCUACCAUGGUCUCAACGGGUAACGGGGAAUUAGGGUUCUAUUCCGGAGAGGGAGCCUGAGAAACGGCUACCACAUCCAAGGAAGGCAGCAGGCGCGCAAAUUACCCAAUCCCAAUUCGGGGAGGUAGUGACAAUAAAUACUGAUACAGGGCUCUUUCGGGUCUUGUAAUUGGAAUGAGUACAAUCUAAAUCCCUUAACGAGGAACAAUUGGAGGGCAAGUCUGGUGCCAGCAGCCGCGGUAAUUCCAGCUCCAAUAGCGUAUAUUAAAGUUGUUGCCGUUAAAAAGCUCGUAGUUGAACCUUGGGUCUGGCUGAUCUGUCCUCCUAAUCGAGCGCACGGAUUCGGUCGGACCUUUCCUUCUGGGGAGCCGCAUGCCCUUCACUGGGCGUGUCGGGGAACCAGGACUUUUACCUUGAAAAAAUUAGAGUGUUCAAAGCAGGCCUUUGCUCGAAUACAUUAGCAUGGAAUAAUAGAAUAGGACAGAGGUUCUAUUUUGUUGGUUUCUAGGACCGCUGUAAUGAUUAAUAGGGAUAGUCGGGGGCGUCCGUAUUCAAUUGUCAGAGGUGAAAUUCUUGGAUUUAUUGAAGACGAACUACUGCGAAAGCAUUCGCCAAGGAUGUUUUCAUUAAUCAGUGAACGAAAGUUAGGGGAUCGAAGACGAUCAGAUACCGUCGUAGUCUUAACCAUAAACUAUGCCGACUAGGGAUCGGACGGUGGUUUUUUUAUGCCCCGUUCGGCACCUUACGA
RNAcentral lists this ribosomal RNA (838 nucleotides) under Trichomerium lapideum. Its description in RNAcentral is "SSU rRNA". It matches the Rfam family "Eukaryotic small subunit ribosomal RNA", at positions 250 to 1093 of the family's 1831-position model. Lineage: Eukaryota; Fungi; Ascomycota; Eurotiomycetes; Chaetothyriales; Trichomeriaceae. The record is from RNAcentral.